GCGCCCUUAGCUCAGAUGGAUAGAGCAGGAGCCUUCUAAGCUUCAGGCCGCUGGUUCGAAUCCAGCAGGGCGCGCCA
This 77-nucleotide transfer RNA is filed under the name Rhodovarius crocodyli. RNAcentral's name for it is "Rhodovarius sp. CCP-6 tRNA-Arg". It matches the Rfam family "tRNA". Rfam says of the family: Transfer RNA (tRNA) molecules are approximately 80 nucleotides in length. The record is from RNAcentral. Lineage: Bacteria; Pseudomonadati; Pseudomonadota; Alphaproteobacteria; Acetobacterales; Roseomonadaceae.